Molecule: ribosomal RNA, 253 nt
Filed under: uncultured bacterium
Lineage: Bacteria
Description: partial 16S ribosomal RNA
Rfam family: Bacterial small subunit ribosomal RNA
Source: RNAcentral
UCCGUAGGGUGCAAGCGUUAAUCGGAGUUACUGGGCGUAAAGCGUGCGCAGGCGGUUAUGCAAGACAGAGGUGAAAUCCCCGGGCUCAACCUGGGAACUGCCUUUGUGACUGCAUAGCUAGAGUACGGUAGAGGGGGAUGGAAUUCCGCGUGUAGCAGUGAAAUGCGUAGAUAUGCGGAGGAACACCGAUGGCGAAGGCAAUCCCCUGGACCUGUACUGACGCUCAUGCACGAAAGCGUGGGGAGCAAACAGG